GACGAACGCUGGCGGCGUGCUUAACACAUGCAAGUCGAACGAAGUGGCGCACGGGUGAGUAACGCGUAAUCAACCUGCCCUUCAGAGGGGGACAACAGUUGGAAACGACUGCUACUACCGCAUACUGAAGGAGGGGAUUGCGUCUGAUUAUCUAGUUGGCGGGGUAACGGCCCACCAAGGCGAUGAUCAGUAGCCGGUCUGAGAGGAUGAACGGCCACAUUGGGACUGAGACACGGCCCAGAAGCCUACGGGAGGCAGCAGUGGGGAAUCGUCCGAAAUGGACGAAAGUCUGACGGAGCAACGCCGCGUGAGUGAUGACGGCCUUCGGGUUGUAAAGCUCUGUUAAGCGGGACGCGGUACCGGAAUAGAAAGCCACGGCUAACUACGUGCCAGCAGCCGCGGUAAUUC
RNAcentral lists this ribosomal RNA (408 nucleotides) under uncultured bacterium. RNAcentral describes it as "partial 16S ribosomal RNA". It matches the Rfam family "Bacterial small subunit ribosomal RNA", at positions 28 to 526 of the family's 1533-position model. The record is from RNAcentral.